AUAAGGCGAUCCGUGGUUU
Molecule: microRNA, 19 nt
Filed under: anatid alphaherpesvirus 1
Lineage: Duplodnaviria; Heunggongvirae; Peploviricota; Herviviricetes; Herpesvirales; Orthoherpesviridae
Description: dev-miR-D2-3p
Gene: dev-miR-D2-3p
Source: miRBase by way of RNAcentral